AACGCUGGCGGCAGGCUUAACACAUGCAAGUCGAGCGGGCGUAGCAAUACGUCAGCGGCAGACGGGUGAGUAACGCGUGGGAACAUACCUUUUGGUUCGGAACAACACAGGGAAACUUGUGCUAAUACCGGAUAAGCCCUUACGGGGAAAGAUUUAUCGCCGAAAGAUUGGCCCGCGUCUGAUUAGCUAGUUGGUGAGGUAAUGGCUCACCAAGGCGACGAUCAGUAGCUGGUCUGAGAGGAUGAUCAGCCACAUUGGGACUGAGACACGGCCCAAACUCCUACGGGAGGCAGCAGUGGGGAAUAUUGGACAAUGGGGGCAACCCUGAUCCAGCCAUGCCGCGUGAGUGAUGAAGGCCCUAGGGUUGUAAAGCUCUUUUGUGCGGGAAGAUAAUGACGGUACCGCAAGAAUAAGCCCCGGCUAACUUCGUGCCAGCAGCCGCGGUAAUACGAAGGGGGCUAGCGUUGCUCGGAAUCACUGGGCGUAAAGGGUGCGUAGGCGGGUCUUUAAGUCAGGGGUGAAAUCCUGGAGCUCAACUCCAGAACUGCCUUUGAUACUGAAGAUCUUGAGUUCGGGAGAGGUGAGUGGAACUGCGAGUGUAGAGGUGAAAUUCGUAGAUAUUCNCAAGAACACCAGUGGCGAAGGCGGCUCACUGGCCCGAUACUGAC
RNAcentral lists this ribosomal RNA (668 nucleotides) under Bradyrhizobium sp. D218a. RNAcentral's name for it is "bacterial SSU rRNA". It matches the Rfam family "Bacterial small subunit ribosomal RNA", at positions 32 to 744 of the family's 1533-position model. Lineage: Bacteria; Pseudomonadati; Pseudomonadota; Alphaproteobacteria; Hyphomicrobiales; Nitrobacteraceae. The record is from RNAcentral.